UCACAGAUGGAACAAUGGCAAGAGCA
RNAcentral lists this non-coding RNA (26 nucleotides) under Homo sapiens (human). The record is from RNAcentral. Lineage: Eukaryota; Metazoa; Chordata; Mammalia; Primates; Hominidae.